RNAcentral lists this ribosomal RNA (433 nucleotides) under uncultured bacterium. RNAcentral's name for it is "partial 16S ribosomal RNA". It matches the Rfam family "Bacterial small subunit ribosomal RNA", at positions 29 to 507 of the family's 1533-position model. The record is from RNAcentral.
AACGAACGCUGGCGGCAUGCCUAACACAUGCAAGUCGAACGAGACCUUCGGGUCUAGUGGCGCACGGGUGCGUAACGCGUAGGAACCUGCCCUUAGGUUCGGAAUAACUCCCCGAAAGGGGUGCUAAUCCCGGAUAAUGUCUUCGGACCAAAGAUUUAUCGCCUUUGGAUGGGCCCGCGUUGGAUUAGCUAGUUGGUAGGGUAAAAGCCUACCAAGGCGACGAUCCAUAGCUGGUCUGAGAGGAUGAUCAGCCACACUGGGACUGAGACACGGCCCAGACUCCUACGGGAGGCAGCAGUGGGGAAUAUUGGACAAUGGGCGAAAGCCUGAUCCAGCAAUGCCGCGUGAGUGAUGAAGGCCUUAGGGUUGUAAAGCUCUUUUACCCGGGAUGAUAAUGACAGUACCGGGAGAAUAAGCUCCGGCUAACUCCGUG